RNAcentral lists this long non-coding RNA (1896 nucleotides) under Orbicella faveolata. Its description in RNAcentral is "uncharacterized LOC110039749". The record is from RNAcentral. Lineage: Eukaryota; Metazoa; Cnidaria; Anthozoa; Scleractinia; Merulinidae.
ACAUGGACAGUGAAAUGUUGUCUAUUCACAUUAUGCAGAGAAAGAAAGAACCAGUGUUAUUGAAAGGAUAAAGGCUGAACUUGACACCUGGAAAGAGUUUUAGAAGCUGCAGUCUCUGGUUGAACAGCAAAGGAAAAUUAAAGAACAAUCUCAAAGGUGUCUCAGUUGGACACUCACUGGUGGUCAUGGACAGUCAGCACUUAAGUCCUGCGCUGCUUUACACCUCCCAGAUUGAUAAAUAGGUGAAUUGGCAAAUGAAAUACUGGGGGUAAAACCUGCCAGGUAAGAUUGCUUAUUUGAUGGUCUAUGGCAAUUUGUCCAAUUAUAAGUCGUACUGAGUUUCAAUGUCUCUCUCUGUGUGUGGGGGGAGGGCUGAAUUUAUUUCACCAGUGGGUCAGAAAUAAAUUAUAUGUUUGUAAUGUUGUGUCAGUAAUAUUUAAGAAUAAAUAACAGGGGUGGCAUAUGUUAAAAUUCAAAAUGUGUUGGCAAGUCCUGUUUUGAAACUCCAGGUUUGUGACUUGGAUCUGUGCUCAAUGAAACACAAAAACAGACUUGCAGGACUCAUCACAAAGGAUUCUGAGUUUCUGAGAUGGAUUCAAAAGUUUCUGAGGCCCACAAUUGUUAUAGCCACCCCAUGUAUCCCACUUGGUAAAAGCAUAUUAAGUUACAGAAGGGAGGCAAGAUUGGGAACUGGGAGUAAAAGGAACAGCAAGUUUGGCAAGUGGAAAGUUGAGAACCUUCUGUACCCCUCAUACAGUAGCUCAUGGGUUUCUGUUGCAGACAUACAUACACUCAUACAUGCAUAUCAUUUAUUAAAGUGUCUGGUUGUUCUAGCGCCAACAGCACUAACUGAGGACACAGUUGUACUUAGUUGUGUUUUGUUGUGCUUAGUUGUGCUCGUGGGUUGUAGUUGGAGGGUAGCUAAGAGUGAAAUGUGUUAUGGGAGGGGAGGGGAGAGAAUGGAGAUAAUCUAACACUGGGCUUUUUAAGAAAACAUUGCCCUAAUAUUUUGGGAUAAGCAAGCUGCCUUGACCAAGGAAAGUUGGACUUUCCGUUCCAAUGAUGGCUUAGAUGUGAGUUUUAAUCCCUCGCUCUGUACUCAAUCUCUGAUUUUUGCGAGAAAAUAGUCCUCAUACUGUCUGCUCUUCUUCAGUACGAUUUAUUUUUCACUGUGAAAGAGACCCCUUGGAUUUUAAUAGAUUCUUUGUCAUCCACUUAUGAAAUAGAUAAAAAACUGUUUUCACGACAGUCUUGUUUGAAAUGUUUAGGUUAUCAGCUGUUACGAAUGGGUUGGUAAACAAGUGUAGUUCUAAUUUUGUCCUUCCCCAGGGCCACUCCUUGCGUUCGGGCUUUUCCAAAUCUCCUGCAGUUAAUAUUUUGCUUGCAAUCUCGACGAACUCCAGACAAAAUAGAGGCUCUAUGGACAGACUAACCCUGUAGGGAUUGAGUAAAAUUCAUGGCAAGGGGGGAGCGGAGAGGAAUUUUGGGAUUUAUAGGAGGCAAAAAUUUUGCCUCGUAUUUGGGCCGGGUGAGGUUCUGGUAAAUUUUAGAAGAAAAAUAACGGAUAAUAAAGCUAAAUAACGUUUCGAUUACUCCAUGCCACCUACAAAAAGUGUAACAAAGGACGAGAAGAGGCCGGGGUGAGGAGAGGGCGGGAUGAGGGGAGGGGAGGGCGGAGCUGGACUCGUUGUCGCGUGCUUGUUAAGAACGAAGGAAAGGAAACAACUAUGGACAGACUACCCUCUAAUGAGCAGAGCAAAAGCUGAUCAUUUGCAAACAUUUUCUUUCUUUUUGUUUUGUUUUGUUUUUUUUUUUGCCAAAGUGCGUUUCUUGUGAUAUAUCUUUCUCAUUGCCUGGUGAACUCAAAUAGCAAGCCAACUGAGGACCCGUGCACAC